AGAGUUUGAUCCUGGCUCAGGAUGAACGCUGGCGGCGUGCUUAACACAUGCAAGUCGAACGAUGAAAGCGGGAGCUUGCUCCUGCUGGAUUAGUGGCGAACGGGUGAGUAACACGUGAGUAACCUGCCCUUGACUCUGGGAUAAGCGUUGGAAACGACGUCUAAUACCGGAUACGACCUUCGGAGGCAUCUCCUGGGGGUGGAAAGAAUUUCGGUCAAGGAUGGACUCGCGGCCUAUCAGCUAGUUGGUGAGGUAAUGGGCUCACCAAGGCGACGACGGGUAGCCGGCCUGAGAGGGUGACCGGCCACACUGGGACUGAGACACGGCCCAGACUCCUACGGGAGGCAGCAGUGGGGAAUAUUGCACAAUGGGCGCAAGCCUGAUGCAGCAACGCCGCGUGAGGGACGACGGCCUUCGGGUUGUAAACCUCUUUUAGUAGGGAAGAAGCGAAAGUGACGGUACCUGCAGAAAAAGCACCGGCUAACUACGUG
This 491-nucleotide ribosomal RNA is filed under the name uncultured bacterium. RNAcentral's name for it is "bacterial SSU rRNA". It matches the Rfam family "Bacterial small subunit ribosomal RNA", at positions 8 to 507 of the family's 1533-position model. The record is from RNAcentral.